RNAcentral lists this ribosomal RNA (849 nucleotides) under uncultured bacterium. RNAcentral's name for it is "bacterial SSU rRNA". It matches the Rfam family "Bacterial small subunit ribosomal RNA", at positions 520 to 1378 of the family's 1533-position model. The record is from RNAcentral.
GGUAUACAGAGGUCCCGAGCGUUGCUCGGAUUUACUGGGCGUAAAGGGUGUGUAGGAGGUCGGAAAAGUCGAAUGUGAAAUCCCUCUGCCUAACGGAGGAACUGCGUUCGAAACUGUCUGGCUAGAGGUUCGGAUGGGGAAGCGGAACUCUCGGUGUAGCAGUGAAAUGCGUAGAUAUCGAGAGGAACACCGGUGGCGAAGGCGGCUUCCUGGACGAAACCUGACUCUGAAACACGAAAGCUAGGGGAGCAAACGGGAUUAGAUACCCCGGUAGUCCUAGCUGUAAACGGUGUGCGUUAGGUGUUGGCGGAUUCGACCCCGCCGGUGCCGAAGCUAACGCAUUAAACGCACCGCCUGAGGAGUACGGUCGCAAGGCUAAAACUCAAAGAAAUUGACGGGGGCCCGCACAAGCGGUGGAGCAUGCGGCUUAAUUCGAUGCAACGCGAAGAACCUUACCUGGCCUUGACAUGCAGCGUUCAGUCCCGGAAACGGGAUGGCCCGCAAGGGCGAGCUGCACAGGUGCUGCAUGGCUGUCGUCAGCUCGUGUCGUGAGAUGUUGGGUUAAGUCCCCCAACGAGCGCAACCCCUGUGUUUAGUUGCCGAAAGGUUCUCUAGACAGACUGCCCUCUUCAAGGGGGAGGAGGGUGGGGACGACGUCAAGUCAGGAUGGCCCUUAUGGCCAGGGCUGCACACGUGCUACAAUGCUCGGCACAAAGGGAAGCAAGACCGCGAGGUGGAGCAAAUCCCCAAAACCGAGCCCAGUUCGGAUUGAAGGCUGCAACUCGCCUUCAUGAAGCCGGAAUCGCUAGUAAUGGCGCAUCAGCUACGGCGCCGUGAUACGUUCCCGGG